AGUUGAGAAGCCCUGCUCUGGCAGGUCCAGACACUUUUGUCACCACCUGCCAGUAGCAAGUAUAGCAAGGGCUGUGUCCCACUCAGUGUGUGACCUUGGAUGUUUGCUGAACCUGUCUCAACUGUCAAAUAGGGACGAUGAUGGGAAGAAUACUGGCAGCAGCAGGAACCUUCAUCUGCUCCAUAAAUCAGAGAAGCCAUCACCCAGGCACUCAGAAAGAAAUGGCUAACAACAACCUUUGUGUUCUCAAGGAUCCCAUGAUAAAUUCUCAUUAAGUCCAUUGAGGUGUA
Molecule: long non-coding RNA, 290 nt
Organism: Mustela erminea (ermine)
Lineage: Eukaryota; Metazoa; Chordata; Mammalia; Carnivora; Mustelidae
Exons: 4
Source: RefSeq, a predicted model, not a curated record